GACGAACGCUGGCGGCGUGCUUAACACAUGCAAGUCGAACGAAGUGGCGAACGGUUGAGUAACGCGUAAUCAACCUGCCCUUCCGAGGGGGACAACAGUUGGCAACGACUGCUAAUACCUCAUAUUGAAGGCGGGGUUUGCGUCUGAUUAGCGAGUUGGAGGGGUACCGGCCCACCAAGGCGAUGAUCAGUCGCCGGUCUGAGAGGAUGAACGGCAACAGUGGGACUGAGACACGGCCCAGACUCCUACGGGAGGCAGCAGUGGGGAAUCUUCCGCAAUGGACGAAAGUCUGACGGAGCAACGCCGCGUGAGUGAUGACGGCCUUCGGGUUGUAAAGCUCUGUUAAUCGGGACGCGGUACCGGAAUAGAAAGCCACGGCUAACUACGUGCCAGCCGCCGCGGUAAUUC
Molecule: ribosomal RNA, 408 nt
Filed under: uncultured bacterium
Lineage: Bacteria
Description: partial 16S ribosomal RNA
Rfam family: Bacterial small subunit ribosomal RNA
Source: RNAcentral